UCGAGCGCGGACCAGUCUACUGCUAGCAAUCGCCACUGCAAGCAACUUUACCUUCUCGAGAAAUACAUUUCAAAUUCAUUUGUUAGAGUAGAGAAUGCUAUCCUGUGCAGCUAUGAACUGCACUAACAGGCAGUUUAAGGGAUGUGGAAGGACAUUUCAUUUGUAAGUUAGCAUUAAAAUGGGCAAAUUUAUGAUAAAAACAGCAUUAUUAUGCGUAGCCUAUGACCAACUUGUUUGUAGACGCUCCUGCCAGCGAAGCAGCGGACGGCGGCGGACAGCGACAUACGGCAGAUUGUGUAAUCUAACUACAGUACAGUAGGCCUAUUUGUAGUUGAAUGAACGCUAUGUCUAUGCAUUUUAUAUGUUUAAUAGUUUGGAACAAUAAUUCAGAAAUUGACCAUUUCUGAUUCCAUAACCGAUGAUAACGUUAGCGCAGUAGGCCUACACUGUACAGGCUACAGGUGUAUUGUAAUUUUGUUAUGUUUUGUGUGGCGAACCAGCCUGUGUAACGUGUUCCUCGUGUCGCUCGCGGACAUAGCCCCUGCGCCGUGCUGGGUAUGUUGUGUGCGUUAGCAAAGGUCUGUACCCUCGAUCGCUAGGUACUUGUACUAAGGCCGACAAGGCUGUGCAACCGAUUGUCUAUCUUCUAACCCUAGCAAGACCGUUUCUUGGAGCUAGGUACUUGUAAAAAGUUGUAUUGUUGUCAUGAUGUAAAAUUAAAUGUAGCUAAACCAAAUUAGCUACCCCACAUUGUAA
This is a long non-coding RNA of Priapulus caudatus, 756 nucleotides long. RefSeq lists it as uncharacterized. The transcript is spliced from 2 exons. NCBI's taxonomy places the organism in Eukaryota, Metazoa, Priapulida, Priapulimorpha, Priapulimorphida, Priapulidae. The record is from RefSeq and is a predicted model, not a curated record.